UCCCUGCUGGCUCAGACGGCAAAGCGUCUGUCUGUCAACGCGGGAGACCUGGGUUCAAUCCCUGGGUAGGGAA
This 73-nucleotide transfer RNA is filed under the name Ovis aries (sheep). It matches the Rfam family "tRNA". From Rfam's summary of the family: Transfer RNA (tRNA) molecules are approximately 80 nucleotides in length. Their secondary structure includes four short double-helical elements and three loops (D, anti-codon, and T loops). Lineage: Eukaryota; Metazoa; Chordata; Mammalia; Artiodactyla; Bovidae. The record is from Rfam by way of RNAcentral.